Molecule: small RNA, 34 nt
Filed under: Arabidopsis thaliana (thale cress)
Lineage: Eukaryota; Viridiplantae; Streptophyta; Magnoliopsida; Brassicales; Brassicaceae
Description: ATSL208740
Source: RNAcentral
AUACCCAAGGAGUAGAACCAGAAGUAGUAAUAUU